Pezoporus occidentalis (night parrot) is the source of this 8037-nucleotide long non-coding RNA. RefSeq lists it as uncharacterized. NCBI's taxonomy places the organism in Eukaryota, Metazoa, Chordata, Aves, Psittaciformes, Psittacidae. The transcript has 5 exons. The record is from RefSeq and is a predicted model, not a curated record.
UUUUUUACAGAAGAAUCUAGCCCAAGUGUAAUUAUUCCUGAGUAGGAUAUCUCCCUGAGCUCCAUUAGAACAUUCAUUGGGUGAAUGGCACCCAGAAAGAAUGUUGCAAAUCUUGGUAAGCACAUAUCUUAUUUACAGCAAUUUAUUUUACUUUUGCAUUAUAUAUUUGUCCUGGUCUACUUACAAAAGCAAAUACAUAAUUUGCUCUUUAAACUAGAAAAUGUAAAACACCUUCAUUAGCUUUAUUGUAAGUUACAUCUUUCUUCCACUGAACUGAAAAGCCUUUCUUACAAAAGGAUUUUUAUACGGUAUCUUGCAGGUUUAAAAAGUGAUAGCAAUGUACUUGUAGGUGUCCCACCCCCUACUCUGACAAGUUUUUUGGUAUUAUAAACCCAUCUUAUCUUUAUUUUUUCCCCGUUCCUUGUGAUCUUUGUCAAAUCUCAGAAAAGUGAGUCAGAGACUAUGGUGGAGAAACUUUCUAGGGAAGCCAGUCACAGCAGCUCUGUCAGCGGCACAGCUGUAACAUAGUAAUAAGUUUUCUAAGUUUUAUGAAUUAAAAUGUCAGUAAAGCUGCUGAAUCUGUUUCAGGCAGGUUAUCUUAAUACCAUUUUUAUUUCCACUGGCCCAUGACAGCAUGAAAAAGGGAAGAUGGGUGACAUUUACUCAGUAUUAAUUCUAAAGGUGAAGGAAGUUUUUAUUCCUUCUAUAAAUAAAAAAUGCUGUAGCCAGCAUUUGGGUGAAGGUGUAUUGGUAAUAUGGACAAAAGGAGAUACAUAUUUUAUAAAUAAGGACACGAGAAAGUUGGAAUAUAUAAUCAGUAGUGUGUAAUAUAGAAUGUCAAUAUUCAUUGACGUAUGGUAAAGCUACUUAGUAGUACUUCUGGAGCAGUGAUCUAGGUGUUGUCUCCUAGGAAACACUAAAAUGUAUUUCUGUAUUAACUGCUACUGUUAAUGGUCUGCCUUAAAGAAAAAGGUAUGUCUUAAUAUGUGUUCGUUUAUAUAUAUAUAUACACACAUAUAUGUAUGUAUGUGUGUAUUUUAUACGUAUAUAUUUAUAAUGUUGCUGGCCCAGAAUGUUAGGGAUGCAAAAAGGGAAGAGGUGAGGAAUUCCUUCAGAAAGUCAGAAGUGGGUAACUUAUAUACCUUGAGCAUCAAAAUGAUCUUAGUGCUAUAUAAGAACAGCACACACGGUGAUAAAUAUUCAACAAGAACUAUUCUUCGUUAUUGAGAUACUUGCUCCUUGUGCCUGUUAGUGUAGACACACAUACAACAUCUUUUUCUGAAGUUGCAUUGCUAUUUAUGAUUGUGCCUGUGGCCCAGGUGUUGGUUUGUCAGGUCCACAGAGGACAAUCAGUGUUAAGAGUCAGGACUGCAAAGCCCAAUUUGUUUUCUGUGCUGAAUAUACUCUCUCUUCCUUUGUUAUAUUGACCCAAAUAAGGAUUAUUACAGUAAAAUUAACAAAAUUAAUAUUAGUUUAAUCAGCACUAUUUUUUCAGGCAAAGGAAAUUCAGGAGAAAUACAGACACUAUCUUCAAUUAUGUUUGUAUUUGCUAAAUAUUUUAUGAAAUAUUUUGAGAUUGGAUCACCAGUAAUAAAAUUGUACAUAAAUAUGCUAAACUUGCCUUGCCACCUAUCUUGAAGUCAACACUGAAAAUUGUUGUUCCAAUUUGAGGUUAAAAAUUACAUCUUGAAAUAAGUGUUACUGGUAUUCUUUAGUGGUUGAAAUAUAGUACAACAAAUUCAGACCACAGUAAAUUUUGUUUUCAUCAGUCUCAAACAAGACCUGACUAUGAGCUGAGAAAUAAAUGCUUAUGAAUGUAUUAUGAUAUGCACGUAUGCAGAGAUGGCAACUGCUACCUUAGUCUUUCUCUCUAAUUAGCAGAAGCACUACUCUUGUUCCUUUAUAAUUAUUUCUAAACUAAUUAUUAUUAAGCAUUAAUUCCUCACUAAGAAUUAAUUACAUGUGACGUCUGAGUUUUAAAACUUAAACAAUGUUUGGAACUCUCCAGACAUGAAGAGUGGUGCUUCUGUCUUGCACCUAAUUCUCAGAUCUUUCUAAUCUAGUUCUCAGAGUGGUCUGGACCUGUAGUGCUUACUCACUGAAAUUUCAUCCUUGGACCAAACAGAAAUAUCAGUAUGCUUUCCCAGACAGGAUUCUUCUUUGUAUAUUGAUUUGUGUCUAUGUUAUUUACUAUAAAUUAAGUAAGAAAUCAAGCUGCUAGUAUCUGAUGUCUAAAAUCUUCUCCUUCACCAAAAUGCAUAGCAAACUUCUUGUUCUUUAUCUGUAACUGCUAGUUUGUCUGAAGUGGAUGCUUUAUUUAGCACAUAAAAAGCCAUCAUCAAAUUAAACUUCCGUGGUAUCCAGAGAGAUUGUUAUGAUAGUUCUGUGUUGGGAUGUUACAUAUAUUUUCUUUGUUAUAAGUAAGCAAGACUCUUCUUUUGGUCUUUAUCUGCAUUGCUUUAUUUAAUUAACUGGUGAAUUAUGAUAUCUCAGUAUUUUAAGCAUUCUGUAUUUUCUCUCACUUUUGCACAAAGUUAAUAUGAAUUGGGAAUAAUUUCACAUUAUUUUGGUGAGAUUAGAUCCCAUAUGUAUGAAAUGUAGUAAGUUUUAGUUAUACCUUACUCAGAAGCUGAAAAUGCCAUUAGAAAAGUAAGGUUUAGAUAGUUGUCAAUUUUACAUUGCCUUACUGAGCUGCUUUGCUUUUAACAGCCUUUAAUUUCAGAUGGGAAACAGCCUUGCAUCAAUUCUUUCACAGGCCAAAAUGCAAAACCCUAAAUAGCUAAAAGAGCAUUCUUUGCUGAUUGCCCAUACCCCUGUCCUCAUCCUACAGCAUCCCCCAUCCUCCUCGCAAUCUGGUGAAUUCUUGUACACCUCUGUGUAGCAUACUUGUAGAAUGAGAUCCUCAGAGUCUUCCCACUGGGAUUAUGCUAUUAUGUCAGCUAGAAAGGUAUACAGAAACUCACUUUCCAGUGUUUAAGAUGGAUUUUAAAGGCAAAUAGUUGCUUUCUAGAAACCUAGAAAAUUGAGCUGCUUUUGAGUACUGGUUUAGAGGGAAAGAACAGACUGUGUUAGAAAGGGCUGGUGUUCUAGGUUCACCAGACAUUUUUUUUCCUGUUGUUUGAAAGCAAUAGAAAGCUAUUACCUAGGGAAAGAAAGAAAAAAAGACGUAUUUAUGUACUCAGCUACCGAAAUGUUGCAGAAGGUGUUAUUUUUGAGCACUGUAAUAUUAAAUCUCACCUGCAGCACCCUUAAUUUUAUGCCCAGAAGUUCACUGUGGACUUCCAUAAUGAUAUGAAGAAAAGGAAACUGGAAAAAAAAGUCAAUACCAUAAUUUCUAAACAACUCAAUAGAAAACUGAUUUGCAAAUACUUGUUUUGAAAACUGUGUAAGGUACUUAGUGUCACAGUUUUUUAAAGCACAAGUUUAGUCCUUCAUAGGACAUUCAGUAAUUUAACAUUAAUAAAAAUAAAUCUGGAUUGAUCUUGAUUGCUUUCCUGCAAAUGCAUUCCUUUGUGCUUGACAAUUCAUAAGUUUAGGAUAUCUUUCAGGAUGAUUCUUCUUUAUGUUUUAUUAAUUCUGACUCCAAAUGCUGUCUGUAAUCAUGCCUGUAAAAACAACUGUAUUGCUUACAGUUAGUAAGCAUCAACAGCUGAGGAAUGACAUGAGUAGGAUGUAAUUUGUACAUUCCAAAUCUAUAGACUUUUAUUACAGUUAAUCAGCAACACACAACUCAGAAUUUAUUCUGUUUUUUUUCCUGCUUCAUGUGCUUGGAUGCUGAUCUUACACUGGCAUCGAUGUGUUUAGUGUUAACAGUCUCAUUGAAUUCAGUUUAAAAGGUAAAGAUAAUAAAGUUCAAAUAAAGAGAAUCAAUAGUGACAUUCCUACGAAAUCAAAACAAUGUAUCUGGUUACAUCAGAUGCUAUAGGACUUGAUUUUUAAUUCCUAUAUGUUUAAAUGAAUGAGCACCUAUGCAGAUGAGGCUGAGAUGCUGUUGGUACAACUCAGUGAGCUUCCAGGUGAGUGGAUGAUCUGGGGGCCCGAAUCUGUUUCAGCUGUGGGCCUGUCUUACAGCCAAGCCUAGAUAGUCAGCUAGUUACACUUCAGAUUAAUUUUGAAUAUGUACACUCUCUUGUGGAAGAGAAAUGUAUAAAAUACAGCUGGUUUGACUGCUUGCCAAUCAGAGCAAUAUAUUUGACUUUAUUUUGACUCUCUUGCAUUUUGGGACCUUAUUCUGAGAUUUGUAUUUUUUAAAAAGCAGUUAGCUUCAUGUCUCUGCUAAGCUCAAUUACGUAGGACAUUUGGAAGAAAGAACAGGAGAUUAAAUCAAUGACAAUUCAUCAUAUUAUGUCUCACUCUGACAAGCUUAAUUUUAAGAAUAUUUGAAUUUCCUAUACCUGUUUCCCUGUACUUUACCCAGGAUGGUGCCAGCCCAGGGUGAGGGUUGCUAAUACUGUAUGUCAGUCAAAAAGGGAGACUAAUCUUUGUUAUUUGCAAAGAAGGAGGUGGCUAACUAAGAGCAUGCACCUAAUCUCAGCCUAGAAUAACAUGAAUGUGAGAAAGUGCCUCACCCUCUCUCCUUCUAGGCUUUAGCACAUGAAUAGAAUUGCUUUUUUUUUUUUUUGAUAUAUCAAGUUCUCUGGCUACUUCAGAGGUUGAAACUAGUCAGGAAGGAGCAGAAUUAAAAACAGUUUUAUGUUCCCACAUAAUGCAGCUACAACACUUAUGCUGUGUCAUUGCACUCGUGGAUUGGGUUUGAACAUACUGUUGUAGUAAUCCAGAAUGAGAUGAGGCCUCACACUGACUACCUCUCAUGCAAUAACCCCAAGCUCAUAUAGUACUUAAUAUUGAUUACAGUCGAGCAUCUUUUGGCCACAUGAUUCAGGGAGGUGGUAGUGGGGGGAAUAGUCAUUUAAUUAAUUUAAUAAAGACUUUAUUCCAGUGAUGUAUGUGGUAUACACAAUAUCCAUAAUACCAACUCCAACUGAGAGAGGUCCUGCAGCUUCUAGUAGGAAACAAAGGUGAACCUGGCUAUGCUGUAGUUUAUGUUGUGCUCUAAAAUGUAACGAAAGAUGUCAUCUGUUUCCUUAAGGCUGAUCUGGAUUUACCAGGAUGUUGUGUCCAAAGCACACACACACACACGCAAUUCUAGGUACUGAGGAAACAUGAUGCAUCUUUACCUAUUGCAAUGUAAUUGGAUAAUGCAUGUACAAAUGACUUGUUUAGCCUGCCAAUGAAUGUUGCUAAUGCCUUACCAAAAAAAAAAAAAGCAUAUUUUUUGUAUUUUUUUCCUCAGAGGCAAAUCCAAACAAUGCUAGAUUUGGGAAACUGUUUACUGAAAAGCAUUUUCUAAUAGAUCUCUGAAGAAGUGCAAUUGUAUAAUUAUUAUUGUUCAAUGCGUACAGUACAUUGUCUCCAUCACUCUGUACACUGCUGCUAUUAGUGCUUGUUCUAAUAAAUCUCAAUGUACACUGUUUAAACUCCUGUCAUCUGUGUUCUGAUUUAUUAACAUAAACACUUUAGAAUUUGGUUCCUGAACGAACUAUUUGUAACUAGUUAAUUGAUUAUUAAUUGUAAAAUUCUUAAUAUAUAUUGAUUUUGGAAAGGUGUGUGAUAGUGGCAGCAAUAGCACUGAAACAGCGGCUUCUCACAAGCAUCAUCCUGUUCCUUUCUAACCUUUUUCUACUGCAGUAUUAUUUUUAUAAAACUUCUCCCAUGUGAUUCUCUGUGCAGUUCCUUUAAAUCUGGCAGGAGCUACCAACUGCAGUCUCAAAGAAGAUAAUUUUCUAUUUGGCAGUUCCCACUUUUAUUCAUGCUACAGCUGGUAAGAGCCUUUCUGUGCGGUAUGUUCUCAAGUUUUGUGAGAGGGUGUAGAGAAAAUGGCUCUUGUAGUCCUCUAAUAGAAUUGAAUAAAGAGGUGUGGGGAAAAAAAGAAAUUACUUGACACCCACCUCUUCUGGCAUCUUGGAAAAAUACCAGUAUGUGGAAUUUUCCCAUUCUAUGUUCUUGUCCUUAUUCAGCCCUUAAAUCGAUUACAUUUUAUUUUAAAUGAAAGUAUAAUAAAAACCAAGAAUUUGGCUGGGAGGAGAAAUUAAGGUUUUUAUUGUUUCUUGGCACUGUAAAAAGAACAAGUGUUCAAAUAGUCUGGAAGGCUGCCUGAGUGGAAGCAACAGCAAAGGAAGGGAAAGCACUUUUUUUCAUGAAUGGCGAUGCUUGCUUUCUUGUGUCAGAGUACACAUCUGAUCUCAUCCAAACCAGGUUUGUAGACUGGGAGCUUAUUCCCUGUUAAACAAUUCUAUGAGCAAAAUUCAGAUCUGGUUUCACAUUUAUGUAGCUGGGAUCUGUACUUCGCCUCUGAAUGCUGUGCAAAACAAAUCUAACACUUUUUGAUGACUAUUUCUCAUCAAAAUUCCUGUGCAUAAUUGAAGUGUGAAAAGCUGUAUGUCAUUCCUUAAUUGAUUGAAAAAAGAAUUAUUUGGGAAUAGAUUAGAGUGCAAGAGGCCUAUGAGGCAAUCUGACAUCUAUCUUAGCAUAAAAAGUAUUUAAGUAUGGUAAUAAUUUUUAUAUUUAAACUUAAUCUAACCAAGGACCAGAUGAUACUUCUUCUUAACCACAAACAUGUAGGCGCUGUGGUGUGGUGAAGUGAGGCAGUGUGGGAUGCUAUUGACAAGAUUUUAUACUGACUCAGCUAAAGGAGUUGCCCACAGAAAGCUGUUCCAAGUUUCACUGCCAGUACAAAAAUCUGUUCUGAUGUGAUGACACAUAGCAUUAUUGUUCAGCCAAUGUAUCAAGCAACAAGGUUCUCCAAGUCCUUAUGGGCUUACUAAAUAUUUAGGUUGGUCUAAAUGUUAAAAACCACAAGUAUGCAAUAUUUACUGUUCCCGCACCUGAAUCUGAAAAAUUAUUUUUUUCCACUAAGUAGUCGUUACUAAAUCAGAUUAAAAGAAACUAAUCUGAAAUACCAUUCAAAAUGAAUGAGGUACUGUGGACUAGCUGAGGAGGUACUCUGUAGUUUAUUUUGACUGAGUGGUGAGUCUAAUUUUUCUCAGGGCCAGUAAAUGAAAUGUCUUAUGUUUAGACUUUGCUUUUUAUUUCUGACAGCAAUGUCUAAGAUGUAACUAUUAGGCAGAGUAGCUAAGGGACAGGCUAGGUUGUAUACCCCGUAUCUACAUCCCAAGUGUGUACUAAUAAUGGUAAAGCUAAAAAAGAAUGCAAAGCAAGUUAACAAAGUAUGCAUAAAUGCAAGCUACAGACAUGAAUCUGGUUUGAAGACCUGCUUUACCUAUGAUUAGAUUACAUUUGUAAUCACAUGGGAAAGUUCCAAAGUAAAACCAAAUACGUGGUUGCAUUUCUCACUGAUAACUGUCUGGCUGUAUUUGCUUGAGCAAAGAAAUGAAAUGAAUUAGCUCAAAUUUCAUGACUGUCCAAGGUUUCCUGAGCAGGUUUUUUGACAAGUCGGUGGAGGAAAAAGUAUAAGGAAACAUUUCCAAAAGGUUACAGUUGUUGGACUGCAAGUGGCUACGCAUUCUGUGGUCUCUAAAUGCCAUAAUGCUUUGUGAGCAGCAAUCACUGUGAACAAUAUGCCAAGUGACCCCAGUACCCCAGCAGCCUGCUAGACCAGGAGUUCAGCAUGGCAGUGUCACUGUCUUCAGGAGCCCUGAAGCAAUAAUUCCACCUUCCAGCUGUGGAUGAAUCUGCUGUACAGAUGAAUCAGCAACAGAGGCUUCUACCAAUGUCUGUGUUGUGGUGAGGGUUCAAGUCUGACCUUAAUCCAGUAAUGUAUCAAGGUGGGCUAAGAUCAGGACUAUGGAGGAUCCUGCAUAGUGAAGGCAGAUGGGAUGCCUUGUCACUAUUGUUCUAUGGCCCUGUGCUAAGGGGUAUGGAAGGUUACAGUCCCUGGGAUUCCCCUGAGGUAGCAUGAACCACAUAGGAGCAAAGAUUUUCGUCUGCAGAACUUGUAGAGGCAAGGCAAGAUUUUUUUAUUGAAGUUCUAACUUGGGCAUAACAUAUGCAUAGCAUGUUUUUCAUUUAUUGGUUGCC